RNAcentral lists this ribosomal RNA (654 nucleotides) under uncultured marine eukaryote. RNAcentral's name for it is "SSU rRNA". It matches the Rfam family "Eukaryotic small subunit ribosomal RNA", at positions 618 to 1285 of the family's 1831-position model. The record is from RNAcentral.
GUUAAAAAGCUCGUAGUCGGAUUUCAGUAUUAGGCCCUUCUUCCAAUACGGUUGCUAGUGGUCUUUACUUCCUUAACAGAAUCUUUCAUCUCAUUAAUUUGGGGUGUUUGGGGCCUGUUUCUUUUACUUUGAGAAAAUUAGAGUGUUCAAAGCGGGUUUUCGCCUGGAUAUUACUCUUGGAAUAAUAAUAUAGGACUUUGGUUCUUUUUUGUUGGUGACUUAGAACCGAAGUAAUGAUUGAUAGGGACAGUUGGGGUCAUUCGUACUAUGAAGCGAGAGGUGAAAUUCAUGGACCUUUGUAUGACGAACUACUGCGAAAGCAUUUGACUAGGAUGUUCCCGUUGAUCAAGAACGAAAGUUGGGGGAUCGAAGACGGUCAGAUACCGUCGUAGUCUCAACCAUAAACUAUGCCAGCUAGGGAUUGGAGGAAGAUCAUUUUACGUCUCCUUCAGCACCUUAUGAGAAAUCAAAGCAUUUGGGUUCCGGGGGGAGUAUGGUCGCAAGGCUGAAACUUAAAGGAAUUGACGGGAGGGCACCACCAGGAGUGGAGCCUGCGGCUUAAUUUGAUUCAACACGGGAAAACUUACCAGGUCCGGACAUGGGAAGGAUUGACAGAUUGAAAGCUCUUUCUUGAUUCUAUGGGUGGUGGUGCAU